Molecule: ribosomal RNA, 428 nt
Filed under: Pseudomonadota bacterium
Lineage: Bacteria; Pseudomonadati; Pseudomonadota
Description: Proteobacteria bacterium partial 16S ribosomal RNA
Rfam family: Bacterial small subunit ribosomal RNA
Source: RNAcentral
UGGGGAAUAUUGGACAAUGGGCGAAAGCCUGAUCCAGCCAUGCCGCGUGUGUGAAGAAGGUCUUCGGAUUGUAAAGCACUUUAAGUUGGGAGGAAGGGCAGUAAGCGAAUACCUUGCUGUUUUGACGUUACCGACAGAAUAAGCACCGGCUAACUCUGUGCCAGCAGCCGCGGUAAUACAGAGGGUGCAAGCGUUAAUCGGAAUUACUGGGCGUAAAGCGCGCGUAGGUGGUUCGUUAAGUUGAAUGUGAAAGCCCGGGCUCAACCUGGGAACUGCAUCCAAAACUGGCGGGCUAGAGUAGGGCAGAGGGGGGGGGAAAUUCCUGUGUAGCGGUGAAAUGCGUAGAUAUAGGAGGGAACACCAGUGGCGAAGGCGACCACCUGGGCUCAUACUGACACUGAGGUGCGAAAGCGUGGGGAGCAAACAGG